AUCUUCUUCUUCCUCUUUUAUUAUCUACUGGCAAAAAUCUCUCUUAAAAAUCUUUUUUCCCUUUUCUUCAUCACUUUUUUUUUUCUUUUAUUUCUAGCUUCUUUUUCGUUUAAUCCUUAUUCUCUCAAAUUUUCAAAAUUACUCUGAAAUUUUUGAAAACUUUCAAAAUUUAGUUUUCUUUGAAUUUUCAGUUCAUCACUAGUAAGAU
Molecule: long non-coding RNA, 208 nt
Filed under: Ananas comosus (pineapple)
Lineage: Eukaryota; Viridiplantae; Streptophyta; Magnoliopsida; Poales; Bromeliaceae
Description: long non-coding RNA (ACOM_LNC012226)
Source: RNAcentral